RNAcentral lists this ribosomal RNA (237 nucleotides) under uncultured bacterium. RNAcentral describes it as "partial 16S ribosomal RNA". It matches the Rfam family "Bacterial small subunit ribosomal RNA", at positions 99 to 334 of the family's 1533-position model. The record is from RNAcentral.
CGAACGGGUGAGUAACGCGUGAGGAACCUGCCUCAAAGAGGGGGACAACAGUUGGAAACGACUGCUAAUACCGCAUAAGCCCACGGCCCGGCAUCGAGCAGAGGGAAAAGGAGUGAUCCGCUUUGAGAUGGCCUCGCGUCCGAUUAGCUAGUUGGUGAGGUAACGGCCCACCAAGGCAACGAUCGGUAGCCGGACUGAGAGGUUGAACGGCCACAUUGGGACUGAGACACGGCCCAG